CUUUCCUACGGGAGGCAGCAGUGAGGAAUAUUGGUCAAUGGCCGAGAGGCUGAACCAGCCAAGUCGCGUGAGGGAUGACGGCCCCACGGGUUGUAAACCUCUUUUGUCGGGGAGCAAGACCCGCCACGAGUGGCGGAGCGAGAGUACCCGAAGAAAAAGCAUCGGCUAACUCCGUGCCAGCAGCCGCGGUAAUACGGAGGAUGCGAGCGUUAUCCGGAUUUAUUGGGUUUAAAGGGUGCGCAGGCGGACC
This 250-nucleotide ribosomal RNA is filed under the name uncultured bacterium. RNAcentral describes it as "partial 16S ribosomal RNA". It matches the Rfam family "Bacterial small subunit ribosomal RNA", at positions 334 to 581 of the family's 1533-position model. The record is from RNAcentral.